RNAcentral lists this ribosomal RNA (253 nucleotides) under uncultured bacterium. RNAcentral describes it as "partial 16S ribosomal RNA". It matches the Rfam family "Bacterial small subunit ribosomal RNA", at positions 524 to 776 of the family's 1533-position model. The record is from RNAcentral.
GACGUAGGGCGCGAGCGUUGUCCGGAUUUAUUGGGCGUAAAGAGCUCGUAGGCGGCUUGUUGCGUCGGCUGUGAAAACCCAUGGCUCAACCGUGGGCUUGCAGCCGAUACGGGCAGGCUAGAGUUCGGUAGGGGAGACUGGAAUUCCUGGUGUAGCGGUGAAAUGCGCAGAUAUCAGGAGGAACACCGGUGGCGAAGGCAGAUCUCUGGGCCGUAACUGACGCUGAGGAGCGAAAGCAUGGGGAGCGAACAGG